UCUCAGCAUUUAGGUGGCACCGUGCUGAUACUGUCCAAUCUCAGAAGCCAAUCAGGACUGUAUUUGGUUAGGACUGGGAUGGGAGACCACCAGGAAAACUAAGUGCUGUAAGAU
RNAcentral lists this ribosomal RNA (114 nucleotides) under Salvator merianae (Argentine black and white tegu). Lineage: Eukaryota; Metazoa; Chordata; Lepidosauria; Squamata; Teiidae. The record is from RNAcentral.